UACGUAGGGUGCAAGCGUUGUCCGGAAUGAUUGGGCGUAAAGCGUCUGUAGGUGGCUUUUUAAGUCCGCCGUGAAAUCCCAGGGCUCAACUCUGGACAGGCGGUGGAAACUAGCAAGCUGGAGUACGGUAGGGGCAGAGGGAAUUUCCGGUGGAGCGGUGAAAUGCGUAGAGAUCGGAAAGAACACCACCGGCGAAAGCACUCUGCUGGGCCGACACUGACACUGAGAGACGAAAGCUAGGGGAGCGAAUGGG
RNAcentral lists this ribosomal RNA (253 nucleotides) under uncultured bacterium. Its description in RNAcentral is "partial 16S ribosomal RNA". It matches the Rfam family "Bacterial small subunit ribosomal RNA", at positions 524 to 776 of the family's 1533-position model. The record is from RNAcentral.